Long non-coding RNA from Dendronephthya gigantea, 590 nucleotides. RefSeq lists it as uncharacterized. The transcript is spliced from 3 exons. The record is from RefSeq and is a predicted model, not a curated record. NCBI's taxonomy places the organism in Eukaryota, Metazoa, Cnidaria, Anthozoa, Malacalcyonacea, Nephtheidae.
CUCGGUGACAAAACUAAAAGGAUCCUCAUAUGAAGAUUAAUUGUUUUUUGAUGUUUAAGCUUGGCUUCUGACGCUGUCCUGGUUUUGAGGAAGAUAUAUAAACAGUCUUCGGAGGUCGCAUUUCAUUUCAUUUUAAGAUUACAUACAGCUGGUUUAAAAGAAGUUAUAAUCUCGCCGCCGAAAAUUAGGACGUUAUGAAAUUUAUCAUUCUUGGGCUUGUUAUAACGCUUGUUGUGUUAGACCUAACAAGUAUUUCAUCGGGAAGUUUGAUGUGUCUCGGCCAAGAUAUGUGUUCGGGGAAAAAGAAGAAGACAUUAGACAAAAGCUACACAGCAUCGUGGAAAUUUCAAAACAGGCAUCGCAGGUUUUGGGGGGACACUCGUGUAGAAAAACCCAUUAUGAACAGGACUUGGUACAAACGCUAUAAAACGAGAAUUAGGGGGUUCUUUAAAACGAGGCCUGGACUAGACAAGUAAAGAUGGGAAAGCAUAAAAGAAUAUAAUAUAGGAAUGUAUCAUUCGAAUUGAGAACACUUGCAAAGCAAGAUGCCGCACUCUUAAUGGAAUAAAUAAUAUAGACAGCUAUUGCAU